GCUAUCUGUACUUGCUUGGUGGUAUACGGCUGGGAUUAAAUUUAUAUUUAGCUCAGACUAAGUGCAGGUACUACGCGUAAUAGGCUGGUUUCUCCUAACAUCAUAUAGAAGUCUCGCAGGCUUAGAUGCCUGAAGUCUGUUGAACAAUGUUUUAUUUUAUUUGCGAUCCGCCUGUGGAUCUUUUACUUUCCGUAUUGUAAUACUUGGAUAUUACUUCAUACCGGAUUGUAAUAUAUUUUUGCU
Molecule: long non-coding RNA, 243 nt
Organism: Helianthus annuus (common sunflower)
Lineage: Eukaryota; Viridiplantae; Streptophyta; Magnoliopsida; Asterales; Asteraceae
Exons: 2
Source: RefSeq, a predicted model, not a curated record